RNAcentral lists this transfer-messenger RNA (380 nucleotides) under Winslowiella arboricola. It matches the Rfam family "transfer-messenger RNA". Rfam says of the family: Bacterial tmRNA, also known as 10Sa RNA or SsrA, is named for its dual tRNA and mRNA-like properties. The record is from RNAcentral. Lineage: Bacteria; Pseudomonadati; Pseudomonadota; Gammaproteobacteria; Enterobacterales; Erwiniaceae.
GGGGCUGAUUCUGGACUCGACGGGAUUGUGUAGCCUUAGGAGCAUGCCGAGGGACGGUUUGCCUCGUAAAAAGCCGUAAAAAAAUAGUCGCAAACGACGAAAACUUUGCACCUGCUGCUUUAGCAGCGUAAUCAGCCUAAGAAACUGAAGGUGUCCUCUCUCCCUAGCCUCCGCUCUUAGGACGGGGAUCAAGAGAGGUCAAACCCAAAAGAGAUCGCGUGGAUACCUUGCCUGGGGUUGAAGCGUUAAAUCCAAUCAGGCUAGUUUGUUAGUGGCGUGUCCAUCCGCAGCUGACCGGCGAAUGUAAAGAUUGGACUAAGCAUGUAGUGCCGACGGUGUAGUAAUUUCGGACGCGGGUUCAACUCCCGCCAGCUCCACCA